RNAcentral lists this ribosomal RNA (531 nucleotides) under Bifidobacterium dentium. Its description in RNAcentral is "bacterial SSU rRNA". It matches the Rfam family "Bacterial small subunit ribosomal RNA", at positions 161 to 703 of the family's 1533-position model. Lineage: Bacteria; Bacillati; Actinomycetota; Actinomycetes; Bifidobacteriales; Bifidobacteriaceae. The record is from RNAcentral.
UGGUAAUGCCGGAUGCUCCGGUUGGAUGCAUGUCCUUCCGGGAAAGAUCCGUCGGUAUGGGAUGGGGUCGCGUCCUAUCAGCUUGAUGGCGGGGUAACGGCCCACCAUGGCUUCGACGGGUAGCCGGCCUGAGAGGGCGACCGGCCACAUUGGGACUGAGAUACGGCCCAGACUCCUACGGGAGGCAGCAGUGGGGAAUAUUGCACAAUGGGCGCAAGCCUGAUGCAGCGACGCCGCGUGCGGGAUGGAGGCCUUCGGGUUGUAAACCGCUUUUGAUCGGGAGCAAGCCCUUCGGGGUGAGUGUACCUUUCGAAUAAGCACCGGCUAACUACGUGCCAGCAGCCGCGGUAAUACGUAGGGUGCAAGCGUUAUCCGGAAUUAUUGGGCGUAAAGGGCUCGUAGGCGGUUCGUCGCGUCCGGUGUGAAAGCCCAUCGCUUAACGGUGGGUCUGCGCCGGGUACGGGCGGGCUGGAGUGCGGUAGGGGAGACUGGAAUUCCCGGUGUAACGGUGGAAUGUGUAGAUAUCGGAAA